GCCUUACAUAUAAGCUAGGUUUGUAAAAAGUUAUUGUAGUUCGGCAACAUGUGUAGGUCGAAGUUCAGUGGCCAGUAAGUAGUUCACCGGAAGUAGCAGGUGAGAUUGAACAGCGAGGUGCAGUGGACUAUACUAUACGUGAAGUAAUGAUUUUCUCUUCUGAUUUUGAUAAAUUAACUUGUAGAUUAUUUGGAAUUAUAGAAAAUAUGAGAGUAUGUAAAAAAAAGCUUACAAAUUAGGUAACUAGAUUAAAAGAAAGACAUUAUUUUUCCCUCUCUAUACACAUAUAUAUUCUGAACUGAUUUACAGUAUUGUCAUCUGCUUAUUAUUAUUUAUUAACCAUUCAGGCUGUUCCCGCCUAAGCUCGGCGCAGAAGGUGGUGUCGGCACACCCUUUGGAAGAAUAUUUAGAAGCAAAAAUUCAUAUUUAGAAUAUGAUGGUGGUGGUUUCACAUGCGUAGUGUAAGGUAUCGGCCUACCACCAAUCGACGGCGUAGAGGAUAUGGUGAAAAGAAUGAGAAGAAUGAAAGAUACAACGAUGUUGUUCACCGCCAUUAAUUUUCUUUUAGAAUGAUAGUUGGGUAGCGUGGGCACUUGUGGUGUGGUUUGAAGUCUGAACUUGUUUCUCUUAAAUAAAAAGAGAGAAAGAAGAGAUUAUUCGGAGGAGCCGC
Molecule: long non-coding RNA, 670 nt
Filed under: Zostera marina
Lineage: Eukaryota; Viridiplantae; Streptophyta; Magnoliopsida; Alismatales; Zosteraceae
Description: long non-coding RNA (ZMAR_LNC004216)
Source: RNAcentral